This 441-nucleotide ribosomal RNA is filed under the name uncultured bacterium. RNAcentral's name for it is "partial 16S ribosomal RNA". It matches the Rfam family "Bacterial small subunit ribosomal RNA", at positions 338 to 795 of the family's 1533-position model. The record is from RNAcentral.
CCUACGGGCGGCAGCAGUGGGGGAUAUUGCACAAUGGGGGAAACCCUGAUGCAGCGACGCCGCGUGUGGGAAGACGGUCCUCUGGAUUGUAAACCACUGUCCCCAGGGACGAAGAUGACGGUACCUGGGGAGGAAGCUCCGGCUAACUACGUGCCAGCAGCCGCGGUAAUACGUAGGUGGCAAGCGUUAUCCGGAUUUAAUGGGUGUAAAGGGCGUGUAGGCGGGAGCGCAAGGCAGAUGUGAAAACUCAGGUCUCAACCCUGAGCCUGCCUUUGAAACUGGGUUUCUUGAGUGCUGGAGAGGGAAUCGGAAUGCGGUGUGUAGCGGUGAAAUGCGUAGAUAUACGGAGGAACACCAGUGGCGAAGGCGGAUUGCUGGACAGUAACUGACGCUGAGGCGCGAAAGCGUGGGGAGCAAACAGGAUUAGAUACCCCAGUAGUC